Molecule: non-coding RNA, 370 nt
Organism: Pelobates cultripes (western spadefoot toad)
Lineage: Eukaryota; Metazoa; Chordata; Amphibia; Anura; Pelobatidae
Source: the annotation of a GenBank genome assembly
GUCAUCUUGAAAUCAAACCUCAUACACCAAUUAGAGCCAAAUUGUAUUAUUGCAAAAAGGUUCUUGAAAAUUCGAAGUGGGGGAAACAUUUUUUCAGAGCGUGAUAAUAUAUCACAUGGUCAAAAAGAAUAAGAAAAAUAAGAGAGGAAAGAGCCAGUCCUUGAACGUACAAGCCGCUCCUCCGACCCUGGGCCACUACAGACCCACGGAUGGACGAGUGAAGGAAGGAGGUAGGAGAGGGGAAAACAAAGUGUGGAGAUCUAAACCUUAUAAGACAAGGUGAAAGAAUAAAAAGGGUGUUCGGCGUAGGGUGACUGUAUCAAGUUGGAACACAUGCAACUGAUUCCAAGGUUCAAGGCUGAAGAUCAGU